RNAcentral lists this long non-coding RNA (202 nucleotides) under Eucalyptus grandis. RNAcentral's name for it is "long non-coding RNA (EGRA_LNC007780)". The record is from RNAcentral. Lineage: Eukaryota; Viridiplantae; Streptophyta; Magnoliopsida; Myrtales; Myrtaceae.
CACAGCAGCACCUCCGCGUCUCUGUUCCCCGACGAUCUUGCCCGCUGCACUUCCACCCGCGAGCUCACCCCGACGUCACUGCUCACUACCACCGCAGCGACCCGCGAUCCAGCUGCUGCUCGCCGAUCGCCGACGCCGCACCACUCUCCGCCCGACGCCGACCAACCUGCUGCCCGAAUCCCACGCCCAGCUCUGUUGGUUG